Molecule: transfer RNA, 72 nt
Filed under: Bacteroidales bacterium
Lineage: Bacteria; Pseudomonadati; Bacteroidota; Bacteroidia; Bacteroidales
Also listed under: 1 other name
Description: tRNA-Glu
Rfam family: tRNA
About the family: Transfer RNA (tRNA) molecules are approximately 80 nucleotides in length. Their secondary structure includes four short double-helical elements and three loops (D, anti-codon, and T loops).
Source: RNAcentral
GGCGCGUUCCUCUAAUGGUCAGGAGAUCGGUUUCUCAAUCCGACAAUAGCAGUUCGAUUCUGCUACGCGCUA